UGAGCAUGGUAUCGUGGAGUUCCCA
RNAcentral lists this non-coding RNA (25 nucleotides) under Rattus norvegicus (Norway rat). Lineage: Eukaryota; Metazoa; Chordata; Mammalia; Rodentia; Muridae. The record is from RNAcentral.